This 371-nucleotide long non-coding RNA is filed under the name Coturnix japonica (Japanese quail). RNAcentral describes it as "lncRNA (ENSCJPG00005008895.1)". Lineage: Eukaryota; Metazoa; Chordata; Aves; Galliformes; Phasianidae. The record is from RNAcentral.
GUGCAGUGGGAAGUGCAAGGACAGAAGAUCCUGUGACAUUGAACCGUACAAAGCCAACAUAAAAAAUCAUCAACAAUAUCCUUUCCUCCAGUGAUGAGCUGGAAAUAAGUUUCUGCACUAAAGACCUUCCAUCUUCCUCCCUUAUACCACUGAGGGGUGAACAAGAAUGAUCAUUCUUGAAUUUUCUCUCCAUUCUUCACUGCUUCAUGUAACCAGUGGAUUUCUGGAAAAUAAAUUAUCUUGUGAAAUAAAUAAUCAAGAGGAGGUGACUGUUUGCAUGCAUAUCUGCCAUGAAGUAAGGAUCUCUAAUGGGAACUGAAAUUGAGAGUGUCAUUUGGAAAGAUGUGGAGUAUCUGUAUCUGCAGCUUAGC